CGGGAUGAACCAGAAUGAACCGUAAUGAAUAAAAUAAAAUUGCGGAUGGGGUGCAAGGGGUCGCAGGUUCAAAUCCUGCCGUCCCGACCA
This 90-nucleotide transfer RNA is filed under the name Marinobacter sp. Its description in RNAcentral is "tRNA-OTHER". The record is from RNAcentral. Lineage: Bacteria; Pseudomonadati; Pseudomonadota; Gammaproteobacteria; Pseudomonadales; Marinobacteraceae.